AUCCGGCAGGUGUUGCUGGAGGAGAACCGGCAGGUGUUGCUGGAGGAGAACCGGCAGGUGUUGCUGGAGGAGAACCGGCAGGUGCUGCUGCUGCUGCUGCAGCCUUCUUCCUUUUGCUUUUUUUGGAUUUCUUCCUUCACUUAUCCAUUUGUGAUUUCAAGAAUUCGUGCAGCGCAGCAAGACCAAAUAGCCCUUUAAACUUCGCCAACUUCCGUAGUAUAUGCAUGAGCCCAACCUGGUAACCUCUCUCAAACUCCUUUCGUGUUGCCUGGUCAAGCACGACAUGGUAUAGAAACUGACCUUUCAAAGAUAAGAACAUGGGGUGGUACAUGAUCAAAUAUAAGGUGGGCUCUGGCUCUUCAAGCAAUGUCAACCAAUGAGACAGGUCAGAAGGUAAUGUGAUGCGAGGGUACAGAAUGGAGAUGAUCUCCCGAACAAAACCUGCUACGCCUUUGAGAUCUCCGGAAUGCUUCACAAGAGGAGGUUCCUGGGGCAUUCCUUGUUCGUUGUCGACAAAGAAAAAUUUCCCGCUUGGCUUGUGAAUCCUGACAUUGGACAGCAAAAUUCUUGGACCAAGAAAAUUCCCUCUCAAGACAUUUUCCAGGUACAAUUCAGGCAACGACCGGAAAGCCACAGUGGCAGCUCUAGACACCAUCAGAAGAUUCAUUUUAGAAAUUGCCUCUAGAAACGGGUUCUUUUGGGGUGCAUUGCUCGCAGUGGAUUUAUCAUAUGCUUUGCUCGAGGUAGCUUUGCGAGUAAAUUGCUAAAAACCACCACAUUUGUGGCAAGAAUACUGCAAAACCACCACUUUUGUCAAAAAUUUCAAAAAACCACCACUUCCUCGGCAAGUGAGUAACAAAAACCACUAAACGUGCUGUGACCCGCGACUAACUGAGAAUCUGACUUAUCGGGCCCACCUGUCGGAGCCACGUGGCAAAGGGAAAAUGGCAAAGUGGAAACGGCCGUUAGGACCCCGCUAGUUAAGCCCAGCGCGCGCAUGUUAGGGCAUUCCUCCCCAACCGCUCUCUUCUCUGCUCUGCUCCUUCCUUUCUUGCGCCGCACCUCCCGCCGCCGCCGCCGCCAUCGCGAGCAGCUUCGCACCGCUGACGGGAGGGGAGACAUGGUUUCUUGGUCUGAGCCUUCCGACUGUUCCGACUCUUCCUCUGACGAAGAGAGACGGGUAAGAUUCUGCUCUUGUGCAUCUAGGGUUAGGGUUAGGGAGAAAGGGGAAUUUCUUCCCGAUAGCAAUUGACUUCAUUUUCCCUCUGCCUAGGUACCUGCCAAAAUGGAGUGCACGGAAUGGAGCGGCAUUGCUUUGAAUCAUCCUGCACGUUGUGAGCAUCGUGCGCCCUGUGAGAAGUUUGUUGCCUUUGAAUGGACUGACAAUGGUAGGAGGUUCCUUGGGUGUGGAAAAAAGGUGAUUUUCUGACCAGUUCAAUUACUUCUUGAAGUGUUGAAGUGAUUUUCUGAAACAUGUGAAUUCAUUACUGAUAGAAUUGGUCUGAAAUAUGUGAAUCCACUGAAGUGCUGAGUUGACUGAUACAAUAAGUCUGAAAUUAGGCAGUAAAGUAUAUAUCUCUGGCCAUAAAUCUUGAUACAAUAGCAGUAGGUAGUGGAGUACUUUUGUACAUUAAGUCUGAGAUUAGGCAGUUUCCAAUUUCUUAUAGGUUGUGGCCAUUCUGUUUUUAAAUCAUUUUAGCUCUAUAUUUGCUAUCUAGGAGUAGGCAAUGCAGUACUAGAAACAUGGAUAAUUAAUGGAUUGUUGUUUUUUAUUUUUAUCACUAAUGUUUUUAGAAAUUGGUUUAAUUAUAUUUCCUUUGUUCAUACAUUCAUAGGAUGUACCCAAGUGCAACUUUGUGGACUGGAUUGACCCAGAGUGGCCAGUCCAAUUGAAGCAAGCUUUAAAUACCAUCUGGACUAUGAAUGAGGAGGAGUUGACCAAUAGGUUCAGGCAGAAUGUUGUUAAUGCUGAAGAAGUAGUGAAGGUAAGGGAAGAGAAGAGGAAGAUGGAAAAUGACCUGAGGUUUUUUAAAGUUGACUUUGCCAAAAUGGUGGCUGACAAGGAGGAUGCAAUUACCCAGUUAGGCAAUGCAAGGUUGGUUAUUAGUGACCUGAAGGAACAGAUCGAGAGAAAGAACUUGGCUGACAAAUCAGACAUUAACAUUCAUCAAGUGCUGAGGGCCAAAGCAGAGGAAGAGAGAGACCAAGAGAAGGAAGAGAAGGUGAAGCUUGUGCAGGAGAUGGACAAGAUCAAGCAGGAGAGGGCCAUGCUGUUGGAGGAGAAGGAGAAGUGGAAGCAAGAGAAAAGGCACCUGGAGUACACUAUAGGUGAUCUGUUCAAAGAGAAGGAGGCCACCAAGGGGAAGAUCAGGAAGAUCAAAGAGAUAGUUGACGAAUGAUUCAAUGUUAUUGUAGUUGUAUCUGCUAGAGUACUCUAUCUGCUAUUUGUGGCACUAAAAUUGCAAGACAUUUGUACUGAAUUUAAGCUGGAUUAAUUUGUGUUGCUGCAUAAUGCUAUUAUUUUGUGUUGUUGGAUUAAUUUGUGUUGCUGGAUAAUGCUAUAAAUUUGUGUUGCUGGAUUAAUUUGUGUACUGGAUAAUGCUAUUGAUGUAGAUGUAGAUGUACUCCAGGUCUUCCAUAUUUCUGAGGUAUUUUAGCAUCAUCAGCAGGUGAUGUAGAUGUAGAUGUAUAAUUAGAAGUACCAGUUAUUGUUUAGGGAGUAGGUGGUUUUGCUUGUUUUUUGUUUAGGAUGUAGGGUAAGGUUGUUUUGGUUGUCGUCGAGGGUUUGAUGGCCCCAAAUGUAGGGUAGGGUAGUUUAGGUUGUCGUCGAGGGUUCGAUGACCCCUAUUCUAGGGUAGGGUAGUUUAGGUUGUCGUCGAGGGUUCGAUGACCCCUAUUCUAGGGUAAGGUUGUUUUGGUUGUCGUCGAGGGUUUGAUGAUCCCAAAUGUAGGGUAAGGUUGUUUUGGUUGUCGUCGAGGGUUCGAUGACCCCAAAUGUAGGGUAAGGUUGUUUUGGUUGUCGUCGAGGGUUCGAUGACCCAAAAUGUAGGGUAGGGUAGUUUAGGUUGUCGUCGAGGGUUCGAUGACCCCAAAUGUAGGGUACGGUUGUUUAGGUUUUCGUCGACGCUUCGAUGACCCAUAUUCUAAGGUUGUACAAGAAUGACCCAAAACCCACAAUAAUCCUGCUACACUAACAGCAUUUAUGCACUGAAAACCAACAAUAAUUCUGCUACAAUUACAACAUUUAGGCUGCACUCAAAACCAACAAUAAUUCUAGUACAAUAAUUUUGCUAGAUCAACAUAACUCCACAACAGCAUGAAGGCUUGAUCACACAUAACAGAGGUUCACAUAACAUAAAUACCACAUAGGUUUUUAGGACUCAAAUUGAAACAUAGGUUCACAGGACUAAAAUUACCACAUAGGUUCAGAUGACUCAAAUUACACAGGUUCACAUGACUCAAAUUGAAACACAGGAUCAAAGGACUCAAAUCAUCACACAUCCAAGUUUCUCAAGACAGAUACAUGGGUUAUAGCCCCAAAAGUUACAAGCACUGGCAGAUAUCAAAGUUCACACAUUUCCACUUGCUGCGAAGUAGCUCUUCAGUCUUGCAUAUUUCUGAGGUUUCUUCCUUGAACCUGUUGUAGCAUUUGAUGCUCCACCAACUCUUCCACCUCUCACUGACCUCUAUUUUUUAGCAGCAGCAGCAACAGUUGAUGUAGAUGUAGAAGUACCAGCAGCAAAAGAAGUCCUUUCUCCACAUGGAGGCCUAGCUGCUGGCCUUGGUGCUAAGAAAGCGGCCCUUGGUGCCCUAGGAGCAGCUCUUGGUACCCUAGGAGCAGCUCUUGGUGCCCUAGGAGCAGCUCUUGAUGCCAUAGGAGCAGCUCUUGGUGCCAUAGGAGCCGCAGUAGCAUCAGGUGGAGUGUAGGAUUCUGCCUUUUGCCUUCUCUUUUCCUGCAGUUUUUAAAACAAACAAAAAUUAAAAUCUACAUAAGCAAAAUCAGAUACAAUGAUGAAAAAAUAUGUACCAUGCUUCUAUUUUUCCUCAUCUGCAGAUCAGGCCUCAAAGGUUGUCCACAAUUAGUAAACCUGUGGCCCAUUAACCUACAGUUGCCACAUCUGAUUGUAGCCAUCCUAGAGGUAUCUUUUGGUUUAGGCACUUCAAACCUUCCCUUCUUCCUCUUUUCUUCUUUUCUUCCACUCUGGUCCUCUUUGUGGAAUACAGGAGGCUCAAUAUCAGGUUUUCCUGACUUGACCCAAGCAUCUUCUCCAGGAACUGGAUACACUAUUGGUUUGUAUGCCUCCAAAUACAUUGCUUUCCUCAAGAAAGGACUUACAAAAUCCUCAGGUUGCAUCUUGGCCUUGUAAAUUGCACUGCAAGCAUGGUUGCAUGGCAAACCUGACAUGUCCCACUUCCUGCAUCCACAAGUGUGCUCCUCAAGGUUCAGAGCAUAGGUCUUUGGCCCACUGCUUACUUGCCACAGGUUAGGCCCUGCCCUAAUUGCUUUGCAAUCUCUUUGAAACUUCUUGCUCAUCUCCAGUUGUCCUGCAUAUGUUGGAGCUAUUUCCCAUCUAGAAGCUGCUGCAUUUUCUCUUUUUCCAUCAAACCUGACUAGCAACUUGUCUUUGAUUCCAUUAAUCAUUGUCACUAUUGGUUUGUUUCUAACAUCCAAGAUAUAUUUAUUGAAGACCUCACUUAUGUUAUUAACCACCAGGUCUGUUUUGCAAUUUGUGUCCAUUUCAUGCCUAGCCCAUGUGUGUACUGGAAUACCAGAUAACCACCUCCAUGCAUCCUCACACUCAUUCUUCAAAUUGGCCAUGGCUACAUCAAAACCAUGCUUUGUGUAGGAAUAGCUAGCACUGUCCAUGCAUUUUUUCAGAUCUUCACCUCUAAAUCCAGCUCUUUGAAAAUUUGCAUAAAUGUGCCUUAAACAAAAUCUUUGUGGGCAGUUUGGAAAUACAGCAUUGACAGCAUUAAGCAGGCCCUGAUUUCAACCAAAAAUAAAGUAACUAGGUUUCAAUCUUAAGUUCAAACAAUCACUAACUAAUAAACAAAAACAAUUUGAGCAUACUUAAGGCAGAAAAGAAAGUAACUAGGUUUCAAUCUUAACUUCAAACAAUCACUAACUAGGUUUGAAUCUUAAGUUCAAACAAUCACUAACUAGUAAACAAUUAGAGCAUACUUAAGGCACAAAAGAUAAUAUGUAGGUUUGAAAGAGAACAUAGAUCACUAACCUUCUGCCUAUCUGACAUGAUGGUGUAUUUGCCAAACUUCCCCUCUUAUGUGCCUCCCAGAGCAUACUUAAGUUGGGUGAGAAACCAGCUCCAACUGGGUGUGUCCUCCACUCCUACAAUUCCAAAAGCAAUGGGAUACAUGUUGUUGUUGGCAUCCCUACCAGUAGCUGCUAGGAUUUGUGCUCCAGUUGUAAGCUUUAUGAAGCAUCCAUCCAAACCAAUGAAAGGCCUACAUCCAUUUAGAAAACCCUCCCUAGGUGCAUUGAGACAAAAGAAAAGACCAUGGAACCUAGGACCUGGAUGUGGGUUUUCAUUUGUGCUUUUAGGAGUGACAGUUGUGACAAUGCAUCUAGAUCCUGGAUUGCAUAAUUUAACUGUUUCAAUGUAAUCAGACAACCUAUGGUACUGCUUCUUAUGAUCCCCUAGGACAAUUUCCUUUGCUACCUUUUUAGCUCUCCAUGCCAUCAUCUUUGGAACUUCAAUUCCAAAUUUCCUCUUUGCCUUGUCCACCAAUGCUGGCACAGUUGUGUUUGGGUCUGAUCUGAUUGUCUCUAAGAUACUGCUUCCUAGCCACUUUGAGCUCACUUUACUAUGUUUGUCACUAGUUGGGCAAGUAUGUUCUGCUCUGAACUUCUUUACACAAAAUGUUUGCUCAUUCUUGAUCUAAGAAGCAACAAUAUAAAAAGGACAUCCUUUGUCCUUGUGGUCACACCAAGCAAUGACCCUGUCUUUGCAGUUCCUGUGAUAUCUGAAAGACCUCAGCUGCUUGAUGUGAAAGUUAAGUAGAGCACUCCUAAAUUGGUACACAUCUUUGAAACAUAUCUUCAAACUAAAUUGCUGUUCUGGAUUGAGUCUGCUUUCAUCAUACCAUUUUCUUGGCUUUGCCUUCUCUGCUCUUGUCUUCCUUCCUAAGGGAAUAAUAAAAUACAUAGGCUCAUUGCCAUCAUCAUCCUUUGAGUCCAAAAAACCAAGAUUUUCAUCCUCAUCACCUGAGGGAAACCAGUCAGGCUCAAUUGGAUCAUUGGCUGAUGAGUGUGUUCUUGUUGUUGGGCCCACUCUCUUUCCAAUUUAAGCACAGGCUGCUGCAAUACUCCAUCUUCAUUCAAAUGUUCUUCUUCAGCUACAUUUGGAGCUUGUUCACUGUGCUCUUCCUCUUCCUGCUCCUCGGGAACAUCAUAGAUGUCCUCUGGUCUGUGUCACCCUCAAAGUGCAGUGCUGCCUUCUUCAUAUCUGCUACAGUUGACUGCAGGUCUGCACUAUCUUCAUUAGAGCUAUUUUCAUCCUCACUUUCUGAAUCCAAAUCCAUGUCAUCCAUGUCUGCAUAAUUGGCCCUGUCAGGAGGUGGCAUAGUUUGGAUGGGCUGGAAAUUUACACUUUGUUGUGUGGCCAGGAACAAAUUUUCAUUUGUGCCUCUGCCUGAACUUGAACCAACAUAAUCACCAAAUUCCUUAUGGGCCACACCAUUUUCACUUACUGCAAACACUAUAUCAAGAUCACUGAUAUAUUCUUCAUCAUAUAUUUGAAUUGGUUCUGCUGCCUUUCUCUUUCCCUUCUUUGCUGGAGACAAAACAAUUGCCUGCUGCCUCUUGCCCUUAGUAACUGACAAUGUUAUCCUCCUGAUGUCCUGGUAUUGCUUAAGCAUUUCAUCCACCUUAAUCUGGCUGUCAAGCAGUUUAAAACCAUCCAAUCCUAUUCCACCACAUCUCAUGUAAUAUAGGUAGUCUAAAAAACUAUACCCAUUGUCAAGCAGCACAUUCAUAAGAUUGUAAUAUCUUAUGUUUUUCUUAAAGAACUUUGUCCUGAUGUAUUUAAUCCCUUCAAAAUCAAUAUGCACGUCCCACUUCUCAUAGCUCGACCUACAAUACCAAUUAAAAUGUACAAGUUACUAUAACAUAAAUUUGAACAACACAUAGUACAACUGGAAUGUAAUCCUAAUAGUGUAAUUACCUAAAUUUGUAUAACACAAGUACACUGCAAUCCUAACAAUGUAAAUAUGCACAACAAUUGUAGAGCAAGAUAAUUGUAGGUUCUAGUCUGUACUCAAACCCUAGUCAGGACUAAAUUCAGAGGCAAUACAAAACCCUAGAUCGACCUAAACCUCAAGAACGAAAAUUCAGAGGCAGAAGGAGCUUGAGAUAGAGGACGUACGUGUCGUCGCCGGUGUUAGUAGGGACGACUGCUGCAUCAGACGGCGACCGCGACGCAGCGGAAGCCUUGCCUGCACGGCAAGAACAUGGCGGCUCUUCCUCAUCGGGUUGGUCUCCCGCGCCUUCAGCUUGAAUGGAUCUGGAUCCAAAUGGAGCAGCAGGCGGCGCCGCCGCCCCGCCGUCGCCGCGACACCCGCCCUCUGCCCGCGCCACGGUGAUAGCGGGCUGUCCUCUGAGGAGGAGGACUCAUAGUCGACCCCAAGCAGGUCCCGCCCGCGACUCCGUCUGGAUCUGGAGCCGCCGUCGUCUCCACCCUCGACAUCGCCGGAGGGAGUAGUUGCCAUGGUUGCGCGCGCAACAGAGAAGAGAGGGAGGGGGAUGAGAGCACCAGGGCCAGUGCGCUGGGCUUAACUAGCGGGGUCCUAACGGUCGUUUCCCUUUGCCGUUUUCCCUUUGCCACGUGGCUCCGACAGGUGGGCCCGAUAAGUCAGAUUCUCAGUUAGUCGCGGGUCACAGCACGUUUAGUGGUUUUUGUUACUCACUUGCCGAGGAAGUGGUGGUUUUUUGAAAUUUUUGACAAAAGUGGUGGUUUUGCAGUAUCCUUGCCACAAAUGUGGUGGUUUUCAGCAAUUUACUCGCAAAGCUACCUCGAGCAAAGCAUCUGAUAAAUCCACUGCGAGCAAUGCACCCCAAAAGAACCCGUUUCUGGAGGCGAUUUCUAAAAUGAAUCUUCUGAUGGUGUCUAGAGCUGCCACUGUGGCUUUCCGGUCGUUGCCUGAAUUGUACCUAGAAAAUGUCUUGAGAGGGAUUUUUCUUGGUCCAAGAAUUUUGCUGUCCAAUGUCAGGAUUCACAAGCCAAGCGGGAAAUUUGUCUUUGUCGACAAUGAACAAGGAAUGCCCCAGGAACUUCCUCUUGCGAAGCAUUCCGGAGAUCUCAAAGGCGUAGCAGGUUUUGUUCGGGAGAUCAUCUCCAUUCUGUACCCUCGCAUCACAUUACCUUCUGACCUGUCUCACUGGUUGACAUUGCUUGAAGAGCCAGAGCCCACCUUAUAUUUGAUCAUGUACCACCCCAUGUUCUUAUCUUUGAAAGGUCGGUUUCUAUACCAUGUCGUGCUUGACCAGGCAACACGAAAGGAGUUUGAGAGAGGUUACCAGGUUCGGCUCAUGCAUAUACUACGGAAGUUGGCGAAGUUUAAAGGGCUAUUUGGUCUUGCUGCGCUGCACGAAUUCUUGAAAUCACAAAUGGAAGAAAUCCAAAAAAAGCAAAAGGAAGAAGGCUGCUGCAGCAGCAGCAGCACCUGCCAGUUCUCCUCCAGCAACACCUGCCGGAUCUCCUCCAGCAACACCUGCCGGAUCUCGUCGUCGCAGAAGUCGAAGAAGCGGAAGAUCAAGCACUGGGAACAACAUUCAGUCGGCAGAAGAGUUCGAUAGGCAGAUGCAGGAGCUCAGUGAUGGGCAAGAUGUGGUGUCCUUCAUUCGAGACUGCCCAGUCCAUGGAUGCGAAAACAUGUGCUUGCAAUUUCUGUUUGUGGAGACUAAUAUGCUCAGUCAGGAAGCCAUCGUGCAGCUUCUACACUUUAUAUUUCGUGAUUAUGGUCAUGAAGCACUGGAGGCAUUUUACAAGGCUGGCAUGUCCGGUGUGGUGGGCAUCGAAGGGUUGUUUGGGGAGGAGCCCAAUACUUGGCAGGAGGCUAUGCGUCUCUUCACCAGCGUCUCUUCACCAGUUGAUGUUUUUCAGUUACUUCCUAUCCAGGCCUUUUUCUCUCUUCUUGAUGAUGACAAUGCCGAUUCAUGAAGACGUGUCCUUCAGACGACGUCGACUGGUGAAGAGACGCUGGUGAAGAGACGCAUAGCCUCCUGCCAAGUAUUGGGCUCCUCCCCAAACAACCCUUCGAUGCCCACCACACCGGACAUGCCAGCCUUGUAAAAUGCCUCCAGUGCUUCAUGACCAUAAUCACGAAAUAUAAAGUGUAGAAGUUGCACGAUGGCUUCCUGACUGAGCAUAUUAGCCUCCACAAACAGAAAUUGCAAGCACAUGUUUUCGCAUCCAUGGACUGGGCAGUCUCGAAUGAAGGACACCACAUCUCGCCCAUCACUGAGCUCCUGCAUCUGCCUAUCGAACUCUUCUGCCGACUUGAUGUUGUUCCCAGUGCUUGAUCUUCCGCUUCUUCGACUUCUGCGACGACGAGAUCCGGCAGGUGUUGCUGGAGGAGAUCCGGCAGGUGUUGCUGGAGGAGAACCGGCAGGUGCUGCUGCUGCUGCAGCAGCCUUCUUCCUUUUGCUUUUUUUGGAUUUCUUCCUUCACUUAUCCAUUUGUGAUUUCAAGAAUUCGUGCAGCGCAGCAAGACCAAAUAGCCCUUUAAACUUCGCCAACUUCCGUAGUAUAUGCAUGAGCCCAACCUGGUAACCUCUCUCAAACUCCUUUCGUGUUGCCUGGUCAAGCACGACAUGGUAUAGAAACCGACCUUUCAAAGAUAAGAACAUGGAGUGGUACAUGAUCAAAUAUAAGGUGGGCUCUGGCUCUUCAAGCAAUGUCAACCAGUGAGACAGGUCAGAAGGUAAUGUGAUGCGAGGGUACAGAAUGGAGAUGAUCUCCCGAACAAAACCUGCUACGCCUUUGAGAUCUCCCGAAUGCUUCGCAAGAGGAGGUUCAUGGGGCAUUCCUUGUUCAUUGUCGACAAAGACAAAUUUCCCGCUUGGCUUGUGAAUCCUGACAUUGGACAGCGAAAUUCUUGGACCAAGAAAAAUCCCUCUCAAGACAUUUUCCAGGUACAAUUCAGGCAACGACCGGAAAGCCACAGUGGCAGCUCUAGACACCAUCAGAAGAUUCAUUUUAGAAAUAGCCUCCAGAAACGGGUUCUUUUGGGGCGCAUUGCUCGCAGUGGAUUUAUCAGAUGCUUUGCUCGAGGUAGCUUUGCUAACCAACUUGUUGGACAAUAUAGACUCAAAAAUUGGAUUCUCU
RNAcentral lists this long non-coding RNA (10343 nucleotides) under Triticum aestivum (bread wheat). Its description in RNAcentral is "long non-coding RNA (TAES_LNC021472)". The record is from RNAcentral. Lineage: Eukaryota; Viridiplantae; Streptophyta; Magnoliopsida; Poales; Poaceae.